GUCCCUGUAGCGUAAAAGAUAGCGCAUUGGACCUCCAAUCCAAAGGUUGUGGGUUCCAAUACCACCUGGGCUG
This is a non-coding RNA of Trichonephila clavata, 73 nucleotides long. The record is from the annotation of a GenBank genome assembly. NCBI's taxonomy places the organism in Eukaryota, Metazoa, Arthropoda, Arachnida, Araneae, Nephilidae.